Long non-coding RNA from Parus major (Great Tit), 1696 nucleotides. The record is from Ensembl. Lineage: Eukaryota; Metazoa; Chordata; Aves; Passeriformes; Paridae.
CAAAAUACCCCUCCAAGCAACCAACCAACCAAAUAAUCCCACAAGUCUUCGAAAGGAGGAAAAAAUCAGGCCCAGUAUGCCUGGUUACACUCAUUGUCAGAAAGAGGUAAUUUUUGUGGAUGGCUGGAGGUGACCUAGAUAUGUAUAUCCCAGUUUCACAUGAAUUCCUGCUGUAGCUCUUGGUAUGUCUGCUUCUUCCACACAAGAUCCUGGCUCCAAGUGUGCAAUCCAUAACAGCAUAGUGCUGGGAUAGGUGCUAUAAGUGUAAGUGCUCACAUCACGAGGGUAGCACCAAUGUUAAUAUGACUGGUGCUAAAGGAUGGGGUGAUGCUGAGUAAUCUCUGCUUUCUAACUCAGAUUUUAUCCAUCCACUCAGUAAACAACACCCUGCAUGCUAAUGUUGUAGAAUCACUGCAGCACUGCCAGAAAUGAUGAAAACUAAGAGGUUCAUUGGCACUGCUUCUCCCAACUUCUCCAUUUCAGCUCCAAAUGAGUGGGUUUUUUUUCCCAAUGACACAGACCAGAGAUGAUCCGUCUCUUAAGCAGAAAAAUAUCCUUCUCUCCUGCAUGAGGCUAGCCUUAAUGGAAUCAAUUAAAAUGAAGGAGGGAAAAAGGGAAAUUAAAUCAUGGGGAUUGUGCAAUAUCUUUGGAAGAGGCAGAAUCACGUUUUAUGCUGGUGGCACAAGCACUGUGCACGGUUAGCGUGGUUUGAGCUCGAAAGUGGCAGACCCGUCUUGCCAGCUCCUUUGAAUAUUUCUGUCCUGCUGCUGUUAUGUAAGAGCUGCUGUCCCAGUUUGCCUGUGCAGCUCUCUGCCUUAUGCGUGAUGAUGCUCUGGAGCCUACGCCAAAGGUGUUGAGGUUGUUUACCAUUGCUUUUGCCCGGCCCUAUGGGGGCCAGCGUUGGACUGGAGGUGUCUGACUGCCCCAGGGAUGCUCUGCCACGGCUGAGGGUUGAACGCUAAAAGGAAGCUGUCCAAGACCCUUGUCUCACUGAGCUCCACAGCUUGCAGGGAGAAUUCUGUUAGGGGAAGUGGACUCGCUCCAAAGAGAUCAUGGCUUCGUCCCGACUAGUGGCAAGAUCUAGAGACAUUGCCAAUGUCAUGCAACGGCUUCAAGGUAAGUGGCUGACCUGGGCUGGCACUCCCUGCCACACCCUUAUACAUGGAAGUUCCUAUUUUCUACUAUACUGAGCAGUCAAAACUGUAUAUCUGAAGUUUAGUAACUUUUCCAAACUCAUCUGCUGGAAAGUACUUCUAGUAUAUCUAAAGGGCUGUGAUUAUGUGAUUCCUUUGGUACAGCAUUAACAGUGAUGCUUCAAAGCAGCUGACCUGAGCAUGGCUCCAUGGGACAGUACACUGAAUUGAAGAGUUCUGUUUCUCCCAGGUUACCUGAUGUGUGUAUCAGUUUUUUCAUAGAAAUGAGAAUAGAAAUUAUAUUCAUCCUUUUCUCAACUACAGUCAACUGGUAGACCUUUUAUACUGAUAAACUAAUAUUUAUUAAUUUAGCAAUGAGAACAGUGCUUUAUUAUAUUGUUAAGCAUUGAAGCAUUCAUAGCAUUAUCAUUAGUCCUCAAGUUGAUGACCUUUUAGACAACACAUCACAGAAUGUCUUUGCAGUUGAUUAUUCACUAUGGUUUUAUGAUCCUAUAAUAUAGCAUUACUAAAUAAAUUUAUUGUGUUUUCUUAGAAGUUAUACA